AGAACCACCAAUCUGAAUGACUUUGCACUAUUACUUUUUAAAUGUCACGAGAAAUGGAGACCAAGUCCCUAAAAAAAAAAAACUAUAACCACAAAAAGAACACUAACAUGCAUGCUUAAACAAAUCAUAUUUUAAUUGUAACUCUACAACAAGUGAAUCUCGGAUCAAUUUCAUGGAUUGGAUCUCAUUGUCCAUAGAAAAGAGGAAAAACAAAUAGAUCUAGGAUUUGAGCUUACCUUUUAAAGGAAGGAAUAAAGACUAUAGAACAAUGGGUAGCACAACAAUUGGAUUUGGAUGGUUAUAGGAGUUAUCUUCCCUUCAAUUUUUUCUUUGAUACUUCAUUUCCUCAUGGAUGUGGGAGAUAUGCUCGAUGGCUUAGAUUAGGACAGCAU
RNAcentral lists this long non-coding RNA (392 nucleotides) under Elaeis guineensis (African oil palm). Its description in RNAcentral is "long non-coding RNA (EGUI_LNC001089)". The record is from RNAcentral. Lineage: Eukaryota; Viridiplantae; Streptophyta; Magnoliopsida; Arecales; Arecaceae.